GAUUACAGGGUGAGCCUGGAUUCCUAGGACCACAGGGAGAACCAGGGCUCCCAGGACUACCAGGAACCAAGGGUGAGCGAGGGGACCUGGGCCCACCAGGCAAAGGAGAGCGAGGCGAGACUGGACCGCCCGGUCAAAAGGGAGGGCCAGGAGAGGCAGGGAACCCAGGCCCUAGAGGUUCAAAGGGAGAAACAGGAGACAAGGGAGACCUGGGCUCCAUGGGACCAAGGG
Non-coding RNA from Salmo salar (Atlantic salmon), 231 nucleotides. NCBI's taxonomy places the organism in Eukaryota, Metazoa, Chordata, Actinopteri, Salmoniformes, Salmonidae. The record is from RefSeq and is a predicted model, not a curated record.